RNAcentral lists this long non-coding RNA (452 nucleotides) under Linum usitatissimum (flax). RNAcentral's name for it is "long non-coding RNA (LUSI_LNC004063)". Lineage: Eukaryota; Viridiplantae; Streptophyta; Magnoliopsida; Malpighiales; Linaceae. The record is from RNAcentral.
ACAAAUCGUUAAAGAUUAACAACCAUUCAUUCAUAAUAAAAUCACAUAGGGUUCAUCUAAUUUAAGAAUGAGUGGUUUGCCUACUCAUAAUCUCGAAAAAAAAAUCAAAAUCAACAAAGGAAACCGUUGCGUCUAGAUUUACACAAUGAACUAUGAAAGCCUUAAUUUCGCCGAUUCCCAUCGUAGAACUUGAUUCGUCAUUGCCGAUUCGAGGUCCUUGAAGUAAAUGUUUCCUUGUUGCCAAAUUCUCUAAAAUUUUCUCUGAAUUUGUCCGAAAAAAUGUUGGCGCGUAACACUGUCAAACAUUACGCCUAAAGCUAGGCUCAAUUAUUGACAAAUAUAAGGCGCCAUUCUUGACAACGUCCAGAAUUUGCUUUCUUCGACUCCUUGGUUCAUCAUGUCUCGUCCAUGCAUGCAUGUACUGCUCAAAUAGUGCAUCGAUAUCAUCUCGU